UGGGGAAUUUUGGACAAUGGGGGCAACCCUGAUCCAGCGACGCCGCGUGGAGGACGAAGGUCUUCGGAUUGUAAACUCCUUUUGAGGGGGAUGAAUGCCUGCGUGAAUAACGCAGGGUGACAGUACUCCUCGAAUAAGCCACGGCUAACUACGUGCCAGCAGCCGCGGUAAUACGUAGGUGGCAAGCGAUACUCGGAAUCACUAGGCGUAAAGCGCAGGUAGGCGGUUUAGUAAGUCUUUUGUGAAAGCUCCUGGCUUAACUGGGAGAGGUCAAAGGAAACUACUAGGCUAGAGUUUGGUAGGGGAUACCGGAAUUCCUGGUGUAGCGGUGAAAUGCGUAGAUAUCAGGAGGAAUACCUAUGGCGAAAGCAGGUAUCUGGGCCACAACUGACGCUGAGCUGCGAAAGCUAGGGGAGCAAACAGG
RNAcentral lists this ribosomal RNA (424 nucleotides) under uncultured bacterium. RNAcentral's name for it is "bacterial SSU rRNA". It matches the Rfam family "Bacterial small subunit ribosomal RNA", at positions 355 to 776 of the family's 1533-position model. The record is from RNAcentral.